This 420-nucleotide ribosomal RNA is filed under the name uncultured bacterium. RNAcentral describes it as "bacterial SSU rRNA". It matches the Rfam family "Bacterial small subunit ribosomal RNA", at positions 356 to 773 of the family's 1533-position model. The record is from RNAcentral.
AAGGAAUAUUGGACAAUGGAGGCAACUCUGAUCCAGCCAUGCCGCGUGAAGGAAUAAGGCCCUAUGGGUUGUAAACUUCUUUUAGACGGGACAAAACCCCUUUACGUGUAAAGGGUUGAUGGUACUGUAAGAAUAAGCAUCGGCUAACUUCGUGCCAGCAGCCGCGGUAAUACGAAGGAUGCAAGCGUUAUCCGGACUUAUUGGGUUUAAAGGGUGCGUAGGCGGACUGAUAAGUCAGUGGUGAAAGCCUGCAGCUUAACUGCAGAAUUGCCAUUGAUACUGUCGGUCUUGAGUACAGUUGAGGUAGGCGGAAUGUGGUGUGUAGCGGUGAAAUGCAUAGAUAUACCACAGAACGCCGAUUGCGAAGGCAGCUUACUAAGCUGUUACUGACGCUGAGGCACGAAAGCGUGGGGAUCAAAC